This 845-nucleotide long non-coding RNA is filed under the name Homo sapiens (human). RNAcentral describes it as "HSALNT0343198". Lineage: Eukaryota; Metazoa; Chordata; Mammalia; Primates; Hominidae. The record is from RNAcentral.
GCUGACUCUCUUUUUGGAUUUAGCCAGCCUGCACCCAGGUGAUUGAAAGCCUUAUUGCUCACACAAAGCCUGUUUGGUGGUCUCUUCACAUCGACGCUCAUGAAAUUUGGUGCCAAAACCGGGGAUUGGGGGACCUCCCUUAGGAGAUCAAUCCCUUAUCCUUCCUCCUGCUCUUUGCUCCAUGAGAAAGAUCCACCUAUGACCUCUGGUCCUCAGACCCACCAGCCCAAGGAACAUCUCACCAAUUUCAAAUCCGAUCUUCUCGGCUUAGCAGCUGAAGACUGACACUGGCCGAUUGCCUCCGAAACCUACAGGACCAUCACAGAUGCUCUGGGUAACUCUCACAGUGGAAGACAGGAAUGUCAGGCCUCUGAGCCCAAGCUAAGCCAUCAUAUCCCCUGUGACCUGCACGUACACAUCCAGAUGGCCGGUUCCUGCCUUAACUGAUGACAUUCCACCACAAAAGAAGUGAAAAUGGCCUGUUCCUGCCUUAACUGAUGACUUUGUCUUGUGAAAUUCCUUCUCCUGGAUCAUCCUGGCUCAAAAGCUCCCCUACUGAGCACCUUGUGACCCCCACACCUGCCCGCCAGAGAACAACCCCCCUUUGACUUCCUGAGGAAGAUUGACAUUUGCCACACCUGCAUAAAGAACCCACUUGGUGAAAACCCAAGUUUUCUUGGAGUCUGCUGCUGUGAGACACGAGGAAAAAACAGUACAUGUGUACACGGUAGAUCUGGAAGGGAAAGCAGAAAGUAUCCAACACUUCUUGCAUGAAGAAAACAAAAUAAUUGGAGUCUAUUCCUCUCCACCUCGCAUCUGGGAUGUAACUUGAUGGACAAAUGGAA